Molecule: non-coding RNA, 426 nt
Organism: Pelobates cultripes (western spadefoot toad)
Lineage: Eukaryota; Metazoa; Chordata; Amphibia; Anura; Pelobatidae
Source: the annotation of a GenBank genome assembly
CUAAUAUUACUGUAAUGCAUGGAUUUCACCUCCCCAUGCCCCCACCUGCCACGGUGCCAGAUAGGGGCUAUAUCUACUAAAUGUUUAAAACUAGUGACUGGGCAGCCAUUGCUAUCGAAACAUAGAAUGUGACGGCAGAUAAGAACCAUUCGGCCCAUCUAGUCUGCCCAAUUUUUUAAAUACUUUCAUUAUUCCCUGGCCUUAUAUUAUUGCUAGGAUAGCCUUAUGCCAAUCCCAUGCAUGCUUCAGUGUAUUAGAAUGGAAUGUGAUAUAACAGGGGAAGACACACAUAAUCCACCUUGUGCCACUUCUAAAAUAAGUAAAUGGUGGACAGGUCACUGUUCUUCCCCUUCCCCCACUAAUGCUCAGCAGGUGGAGGCUGUUAUAAUAUAGAGGAGUUUUGUUAUGAUAUAAAGGGAGUUAACC